This 253-nucleotide ribosomal RNA is filed under the name uncultured bacterium. RNAcentral's name for it is "partial 16S ribosomal RNA". It matches the Rfam family "Bacterial small subunit ribosomal RNA", at positions 524 to 776 of the family's 1533-position model. The record is from RNAcentral.
UACGUCGGGGGCAAGCGUUGUCCGGAAUCAUUGGGCGUAAAGAGCGUGUAGGCGGCCCGGUAAGUCCGCUGUGAAAGUCCAGGGCUCAACCCUGGGAUGCCGGUGGAUACUGUCGGGCUCGAGUCCGGAAGAGGAGUGUGGAAUUCCCGGUGUAGCGGUGAAAUGCGCAGAUAUCGGGAGGAACACCUAUGGCGAAGGCAGCUCGCUGGGACGUUACUGACGCUGAGACGCGAAAGCGUGGGGAGCAAACAGG